UGGAUCUGAGCUUCCCAACGAUUUCC
Molecule: non-coding RNA, 26 nt
Filed under: Mus musculus (house mouse)
Lineage: Eukaryota; Metazoa; Chordata; Mammalia; Rodentia; Muridae
Source: RNAcentral